AAAUUGAAGAGUUUGAUCAUGGCUCAGAUUGAACGCUGGCGGCAGGCCUAACACAUGCAAGUCGAACGGUAACAGGAAGCAGCUUGCUGCUUCGCUGACGAGUGGCGGACGGGUGAGUAAUGUCUGGGAAACUGCCUGAUGGAGGGGGAUAACUACUGGAAACGGUGGCUAAUACCGCAUAACGUCGCAAGACCAAAGAGGGGGACCUUCGGGCCUCUUGCCAUCAGAUGUGCCCAGAUGGGAUUAGCUUGUUGGUGAGGUAACGGCUCACCAAGGCGACGAUCCCUAGCUGGUCUGAGAGGAUGACCAGCCACACUGGAACUGAGACACGGUCCAGACUCCUACGGGAGGCAGCAGUGGGGAAUAUUGCACAAUGGGCGCAAGCCUGAUGCAGCCAUGCCGCGUGUAUGAAGAAGGCCUUCGGGUUGUAAAGUACUUUCAGCGGGGAGGAAGGUGUUGUGGUUAAUAACCGCAGCAAUUGACGUUACCCGCAGAAGAAGCACCGGCUAAC
This 511-nucleotide ribosomal RNA is filed under the name Salmonella enterica. RNAcentral describes it as "bacterial SSU rRNA". It matches the Rfam family "Bacterial small subunit ribosomal RNA", at positions 1 to 501 of the family's 1533-position model. The record is from RNAcentral. Lineage: Bacteria; Pseudomonadati; Pseudomonadota; Gammaproteobacteria; Enterobacterales; Enterobacteriaceae.